GCAAGUCGAACGAGAACGGCUCUUCGGAGCUUAUUAGAGUGGCAGACGGGUGAGUAACACGUGGGAAUCUACCUUAUAGUACGGAAUAGCCCUGGGAAACUAGGAUUAAUACCGUAUACGCCCUACGGGGGAAAGAUUUAUCGCUAUAAGAUGAGCCCGCGGUUGAUUAGCUUGUUGGUAGGGUAAUGGCCUACCAAGGCGACGAUCAAUAGCUGGUUUGAGAGGAUAAUC
Molecule: ribosomal RNA, 231 nt
Filed under: uncultured bacterium
Lineage: Bacteria
Description: partial 16S ribosomal RNA
Rfam family: Bacterial small subunit ribosomal RNA
Source: RNAcentral